RNAcentral lists this ribosomal RNA (459 nucleotides) under uncultured bacterium. RNAcentral describes it as "partial 16S ribosomal RNA". It matches the Rfam family "Bacterial small subunit ribosomal RNA", at positions 338 to 795 of the family's 1533-position model. The record is from RNAcentral.
CCUACGGGAGGCAGCAGUGAGGAAUAUUGGUCAAUGGUCGGGAGACUGAACCAGCCAAGCCGCGUGCGGGAUGAAGGUACAGAGUAUCGUAAACCUCUUUUGUCAGGGAACAAAGGCGGGGACGUGUCCCCGGAUGAGUGUACCUGAAGAAAAAGCAUCGGCUAACUCCGUGCCAGCAGCCGCGGUAAUACGGAGGAUGCGAGCGUUAUCCGGAUUUAUUGGGUUUAAAGGGUGCGCAGGCGGUUUGUUAAGUCAGCGGUCAAAGCCCGGGGCUCAACCCCGGACCGCCGUUGAAACUGGCAGUCUUGAGUUGGAGAGAAGUAUGCGGAAUGCGUGGUGUAGCGGUGAAAUGCAUAGAUAUCGCGAAGAACUCCGAUUGCGAAGGCAGCAUGCCGGCUCCACACUGACGCUGAGGCACGAAAGCGUGGGUAUCGAACAGGAUUAGAUACCCCGGUAGUC